GGGCUUGCUUCGACAGCACAUAUACUAAAACUGGAAUGAUACAGAGAAGAUUAGCAUGGCCCCUGCACAAGGAUGACAUGCAAAUUCGUGAAGCAUUUUGUAUCUAU
RNAcentral lists this small nuclear RNA (107 nucleotides) under Salvator merianae (Argentine black and white tegu). Lineage: Eukaryota; Metazoa; Chordata; Lepidosauria; Squamata; Teiidae. The record is from RNAcentral.